RNAcentral lists this small nuclear RNA (163 nucleotides) under Tauraco erythrolophus (red-crested turaco). RNAcentral describes it as "U1 spliceosomal RNA". It matches the Rfam family "U1 spliceosomal RNA". From Rfam's summary of the family: U1 is a small nuclear RNA (snRNA) component of the spliceosome (involved in pre-mRNA splicing). Its 5' end forms complementary base pairs with the 5' splice junction, thus defining the 5' donor site of an intron. Lineage: Eukaryota; Metazoa; Chordata; Aves; Musophagiformes; Musophagidae. The record is from Rfam by way of RNAcentral.
GGUCUCACCUGGCAGAGGAGACAUCAUGAUCAGGUAGGUGGUUCCUAGGGUGAGGGUCAUCCUCUGCACUCCAGACGUGCUGACCCCCUGUAAUUUCCCCAAAUGCGGAAAAUUCGACUGCGUAAUUUGUGGUACUGGGCGACUGCAGUCACACUCUCCCCUG